CCUACGGGAGGCAGCAGUGAGGAAUAUUGGUCAAUGGGCGAGAGCCUGAACCAGCCAAGUAGCGUGAAGGAUGACUGUCCUAUGGAUUGUAAACUUCUUUUAUAAGGGAGUAAAACAAGCCACGUGUGCCUUUUUGCAUGUACUUGAUGAAUAAGGAUCGGCUAACUCCGUGCCAGCAGCCGCGGUAAUACGGAGGAUGCGAGCGUUAUCCGGAUUUAUUGGGUUUAAAGGGUGCGUAGAUGGGUUGUUAAGUCAGCGGUCAAAUCGUGGGGCUCAACCCCAUCGAGCCGUUGAAACUGGGGUUCUAGAGUGUGUGAGAGGUAUGCGGAAUGCGUGGUGUAGCGGUGAAAUGCAUAGAUAUCACGCAGAACCCCGAUUGCGAAGGCAGCAUACCGGUGCACAACUGACGCUCAGGCACGAAAGCGUGGGUAUCGAACAGGAUUAGAUACCCUAGUAGUC
Molecule: ribosomal RNA, 459 nt
Filed under: uncultured bacterium
Lineage: Bacteria
Description: partial 16S ribosomal RNA
Rfam family: Bacterial small subunit ribosomal RNA
Source: RNAcentral